AAUGUUUCACAUCCUGGGGGAUUAAAACCGAGAUUAAAACCCAUGAAAUUGAAAUUUUUCACACAUAAUUGACUUAUAGUAGUAAUUGGGAAUGUAAACAUGUAAUAAUGUUUUCCCAGUAGGCAGUUUAACCAAACUUAAGAUAGACAAGACAUAAUAAAUCUAUUAUACAAUAUACACAGCAUGCACAUGACAUGUGCU
RNAcentral lists this long non-coding RNA (201 nucleotides) under Mytilus galloprovincialis (Mediterranean mussel). Lineage: Eukaryota; Metazoa; Mollusca; Bivalvia; Mytilida; Mytilidae. The record is from RNAcentral.